CCGGGAACUUUAAGGAUACUGCCAGUGACAAACUGGAGGAAGGCGGGACGACGUCAAGUCAUCAUGGCCCUUACGACCAGGGCGUACACACGUGCUACAAUGGUCGGUACAAAGGGUUGCUACCUAGCGAUAGGAUGCUAAUCUCAAAAAAGCCGAUCGUAGUCCGGAUUGUUCUCUGCAACUCGAGAACAUGAAGCUGGAAUCACUAGUAAUCGCAGAUCAGCUAUGCUGCGGUGAAUACGUUCCCGGGUCUU
Molecule: ribosomal RNA, 254 nt
Filed under: uncultured Enhydrobacter sp.
Lineage: Bacteria; Pseudomonadati; Pseudomonadota; Alphaproteobacteria; Hyphomicrobiales
Description: partial 16S ribosomal RNA
Rfam family: Bacterial small subunit ribosomal RNA
Source: RNAcentral